AUUCUACCGAGUUCUGCUUUUCUGGGAUCGGUUUGGGAAAAUCACGUGAAAUUCUAAAAAGCUUCUCUCCGUGUUUUCUAGUUGUUUUUUCAGCCUUGGUCUAAGUUUCGUGUAGAAAAGGGCAUAGAAUUAUUAGAACAGACAAACUAGGCUUUCUCGGGAGAGAUGGAAGAAAAGCCACGGACUAAAGCACUGAAGUGCCGUUCCCCAGGGAGCCCCUGCCCAGCACUGAACUUGCUUGUGCACUUGCUGUCCCUUUGCCAGCGGAGCCGAAGCGUCGGGUGCGGGUGCCGGGGGGAUGGAGCUGCCAAGGACAAACUGGGAGGGUGUUUGCGAAGGAAGGGGGUAGAAGGAGCUCUUGACGUGCUUUUUUUACUUCUUCAUCCCACAGAAUUGCCACGAGAGGAAAUACUUCAGAGGGGCUUCCCUCCAGAUAAGCCCUGAAUGUGCCAGGAGGUUUCAGCCGGGAGAAAGGAGCUGUGGAAGAAAAGCAGCCUAAAAAUAGCCAGCGGGGAUCAUCAGGUUUUCCAGCCAAGAAAAACCAGGAGGGAGAUGAGGGAAUCGGGUUCCAAUUCCUAAAGAUUUGGUGGGUGUAGGAAUGAUUUCUGUGUGUUUUCCAGUCCCUUUUGAUUCCUGGGAUGAUUUUAAAAUGAUGGCUAAAUUGGAGAUGUUGUUUUUGAGAGGAAAUGAUGCCAAAUAAAUGCAAAGUUUGGGGUCAGUUUU
This is a long non-coding RNA of Pseudopipra pipra, 723 nucleotides long. RefSeq lists it as uncharacterized. The transcript has 2 exons. The record is from RefSeq and is a predicted model, not a curated record. NCBI's taxonomy places the organism in Eukaryota, Metazoa, Chordata, Aves, Passeriformes, Pipridae.